RNAcentral lists this ribosomal RNA (450 nucleotides) under uncultured bacterium. Its description in RNAcentral is "partial 16S ribosomal RNA". It matches the Rfam family "Bacterial small subunit ribosomal RNA", at positions 354 to 796 of the family's 1533-position model. The record is from RNAcentral.
GUGGGGAAUUUUGGACAAUGGGCGCAAGCCUGAUCCAGCAAUGCCGCGUGCAGGAAGAAGGCCUUCGGGUUGUAAACUGCUUUUGUACGGAACGAAACGGUCCGGGUUAAUACCCUGGGCUAAUGACGGUACCGUAAGAAUAAGCACCGGCUAACUACGUGCCAGCAGCCGCGGUAAUACGUAGGGUGCAAGCGUUAAUCGGAAUUACUGGGCGUAAAGCGUGCGCAGGCGGUGCUGUAAGACAGGCGUGAAAUCCCCGGGCUUAACCUGGGAAUUGCGCUUGUGACUGCAGUGCUGGAGUGCGGCAGAGGGGGAUGGAAUUCCGCGUGUAGCAGUGAAAUGCGUAGAUAUGCGGAGGAACACCGAUGGCGAAGGCAAUCCCCUGGGCCUGCACUGACGCUCAUGCACGAAAGCGUGGGGAGCAAACAGGAUUAGAAACCCCUGUAGUCC